AAGCCUAACCUGCAGACAGAACAGAGUCUAGCUUAACACAGAUAAAGCGCCUCCCUUACACUGAGGAGAUGCCCGUGCAAACCGGGUUAACUCUGUAGGCCCAACAGCUAGCCCGCCCCUCUAAAACAACCAUCCACCAUAACUAAACCCAAAAACACUCACUCGACAAAACAAAUCAUUUUCCCUCCCUAGUAUAGGCGAUAGAAAAGGAAC
This 213-nucleotide ribosomal RNA is filed under the name Lethrinus genivittatus (longspine emperor). RNAcentral describes it as "partial 16S rRNA". The stretch from base 23 to 95 matches the Rfam family "tRNA". Lineage: Eukaryota; Metazoa; Chordata; Actinopteri; Spariformes; Lethrinidae. The record is from RNAcentral.